AGGAGAAGAAAGCAAACGCGAUUCCCUGAGUAGCGGCGAGCGAAACGGGAACAGCCCAAACCAAGAGGCGUGCCUCUUGGGGUUGUAGGACCGCUCAUUGUGGGAGUGAGAAAGGAACGGGGUAGACGAACCGGUCUGGAACGGCCGGCCAGAGAAGGUGACAGCCCUGUAGUCGAAACUUCGUUCCCUCCCGAGCGGAUCCUGAGUACGGCGGGACACGAGGAAUCCCGUCGGAAGCAGGGAGGACCAUCUCCCAAGGCUAAAUACUCCCUAGUGACCGAUAGUGCACCAGUACCGUGAGGGAAAGGUGAAAAGCACCCCGGAAGGGGAGUGAAAGAGAACCUGAAACCGUGUGCCUACAAGUAGUCAGAGCCCGUUUAUGGGUGAUGGCGUGCCUUUUGUAGAAUGAACCGGCGAGUUACGAUGACGUGCGAGGUUAAGCCGAAGAGGCGGAGCCGCAGCGAAAGCGAGUCUGAAUAGGGCGCUUAGUACGUCGUCGUAGACCCGAAACCAGGUGAUCUACCCAUGCCCAGGGUGAAGGUAGGGUAACGCCUACUGGAGGCCCGAACCCACGCACGUUGAAAAGUGCGGGGAUGAGGUGUGGGUAGGGGUGAAAUGCCAAUCGAACUUGGAGAUAGCUGGUUCUCCCCGAAAUAGCUUUAGGGCUAGCCUCAAGGGAAGAGUCUUGGAGGUAGAGCACUGAUUGAGCUAGGGGCCCUCAUCGGGUUACCGAACUCAGUCAAACUCCGAAUGCCAAUGACUUAUCCUUGGGAGUCAGACUACGAGUGAUAAGAUCCGUAGUCGAGAGGGAAACAGCCCAGACCACCAGCUAAGGUCCCUAAGUGUACGUUCAGUGGAAAAGGAUGUGGAGUUGCUUAGACAACCAGGAUGUUGGCUUAGAAGCAGCCAUCAUUUAAAGAGUGCGUAAUAGCUCACUGGUCGAGUGACUCUGCGCCGAAAAUGUAUCGGGGCUAAACGUACCACCGAAGCUGUGGGAUGACCGCUGGUCAUCGGUAGGGGAGCGUUCUAAGCGCGCCGAAGCGAGACCGGAAGGACUCGUGGAGCGCUUAGAAGUGAGAAUGCCGGUGUGAGUAGCGAAAACAGAGGUGAGAAUCCUCUGCACCGAAAGCCUAAGGGUUCCUGAGGAAGGUUCGUCCGCUCAGGGUUAGUCGGGACCUAAGCCGAGGCCGAAAGGCGUAGGUGAUGGGCAACAGGUUGAGAUUCCUGUACCACCUCCUCACCGUUUGAGCAAUGGGGGGACGCAGGAAGGUAGGGCGAGCAGGCUGCUGGAAUAGCCUGUCCAAGCGGUUAGGCUGCCAGAUAGGCAAAUCCGUCUGGCAUAAAGGCUGAGCCGUGAUGGCGAAGGGACCAUCGGUCCCAAAGUCCCCGAUCCUACACUGCCAAGAAAAGCCUCUAGCGAGGUGAGAGGUGCCCGUACCGCAAACCGACACAGGUAGGCGAGGAGAGAAUCCUAAGGUGCGCGGGAGAACUCUCGUUAAGGAACUCGGCAAAAUGACCCCGUAACUUCGGGAGAAGGGGUGCUCGUUUGGGUGAAGAGCCCGAACGAGCCGCAGUGAAAAGGCCCAAGCGACUGUUUAUCAAAAACACAGGUCUCUGCGAAGCCGAAAGGCGAAGUAUAGGGGCUGACACCUGCCCGGUGCUGGAAGGUUAAGGGGAGCGCUUAAGCCGCAAGGCUGAUGGUGCGAACCGAAGCCCCAGUAAACGGCGGCCGUAACUAUAACGGUCCUAAGGUAGCGAAAUUCCUUGUCGGGUAAGUUCCGACCCGCACGAAAGGUGUAACGACUUGGGCACUGUCUCAACGAGAGACCCGGUGAAAUCAUACUACCUGUGAAGAUGCAGGUUACCCGCGACAGGACGGAAAGACCCCGUGGAGCUUUACUGCAGCCUGAUAUUGAAUUUUGGUAUCGCUUGUACAGGAUAGGUGGGAGCCUGAGAAGCCGGAGCGCCAGCUUCGGUGGAGGCGCCGGUGGGAUACCACCCUGGCGGUAUUGAAAUUCUAACCCGCACCCCUUAUCGGGGUGGGAGACAGUGUCAGGCGGGCAGUUUGACUGGGGCGGUCGCCUCCCAAAAGGUAACGGAGGCGCCCAAAGGUUCCCUCAGAAUGGUUGGAAAUCAUUCGGAGAGUGCAAAGGCACAAGGGAGCUUGACUGCGAGACGGACAGGUCGAGCAGGGACGAAAGUCGGGCUUAGUGAUCCGGUGGUUCCGCAUGGAAGGGCCAUCGCUCAACGGAU
Molecule: ribosomal RNA, 2253 nt
Filed under: Geobacillus stearothermophilus
Lineage: Bacteria; Bacillati; Bacillota; Bacilli; Caryophanales; Anoxybacillaceae
Description: bacterial LSU rRNA
Rfam family: Bacterial large subunit ribosomal RNA
Source: RNAcentral